UGGGGAAUUUUGGACAAUGGGCGCAAGCCUGAUCCAGCCAUGCCGCGUGCGGGAAGAAGGCCUUCGGGUUGUAAACCGCUUUUGUCAGGGAAGAAAUCUUCUGAGUUAAUACCUCGGGAGGAUGACGGUACCUGAAGAAUAAGCACCGGCUAACUACGUGCCAGCAGCCGCGGUAAUACGUAGGGUGCAAGCGUUAAUCGGAAUUACUGGGCGUAAAGCGUGCGCAGGCGGUUUUGUAAGACAGAGGUGAAAUCCCCGGGCUCAACCUGGGAACUGCCUUUGUGACUGCAAGGCUUGAGUGCGGCAGAGGGGGAUGGAAUUCCGCGUGUAGCAGUGAAAUGCGUAGAUAUGCGGAGGAACACCGAUGGCGAAGGCAAUCCCCUGGGCCUGCACUGACGCUCAUGCACGAAAGCGUGGGGAGCAAAACGGGAUUAGAUACCCUGGUAGUCCACGCCCUAAACGAUGUCAACU
Molecule: ribosomal RNA, 471 nt
Filed under: uncultured bacterium
Lineage: Bacteria
Description: partial 16S ribosomal RNA
Rfam family: Bacterial small subunit ribosomal RNA
Source: RNAcentral